Molecule: ribosomal RNA, 301 nt
Filed under: uncultured bacterium
Lineage: Bacteria
Description: partial 16S ribosomal RNA
Rfam family: Bacterial small subunit ribosomal RNA
Source: RNAcentral
CAGUCGCCGCGGGAAUACAGAGGUCCCGAGCGUUGUUCGGAUUCACUGGGCGUAAAGGGUGUGUAGGAGGUUGGAUAAGUCAGGUGUGAAAUCCCGCAGCUCAACUGCGGAACUGCAUUCGAUACUGUUCAACUAGAGGAUCGGAGGGGGAAGCGGAAUUCUUGGUGUAGCGGUGAAAUGCGUAGAUAUCAAGAGGAACACCGGUGGCGAAGGCGGCUUCCUGGAAGAUACCUGACUCUGAAAUACGAAAGCCAGGGGAGCGAAUGGGAUUAGAUACCCGCGUAGUCCCUGUCUCUUAUAC